RNAcentral lists this ribosomal RNA (495 nucleotides) under uncultured bacterium. Its description in RNAcentral is "partial 16S ribosomal RNA". It matches the Rfam family "Bacterial small subunit ribosomal RNA", at positions 28 to 507 of the family's 1533-position model. The record is from RNAcentral.
GACGAACGCUGGCGGCGUGCCUAAUACAUGCAAGUAGAACGCUGAAGGAGGAGCUUGCUCUUCUGGAUGAGUUGCGAACGGGUGAGUAACGCGUAGGUAACCUGCCUGGUAGCGGGGGAUAACUAUUGGAAACGAUAGCUAAUACCGCAUAAAAUUGAUUAUUGCAUGAUAGUCAAUUAAAAGGUGCAAUUGCAUCACUACCAGAUGGACCUGCGUUGUAUUAGCUAGUUGGUGAGGUAACGGCUCACCAAGGCAACGAUACAUAGCCGACCUGAGAGGGUGAUCGGCCACACUGGGACUGAGACACGGCCCAGACUCCUACGGGAGGCAGCAGUAGGGAAUCUUCGGCAAUGGACGGAAGUCUGACCGAGCAACGCCGCGUGAGUGAAGAAGGUUUUCGGAUCGUAAAGCUCUGUUGUAAGAGAAGAACGAGUGUGAGAGUGGAAAGUUCACACUGUGACGGUAUCUUACCAGAAAGGGACGGCUAACUACGUG